This 492-nucleotide ribosomal RNA is filed under the name uncultured bacterium. RNAcentral's name for it is "partial 16S ribosomal RNA". It matches the Rfam family "Bacterial small subunit ribosomal RNA", at positions 29 to 507 of the family's 1533-position model. The record is from RNAcentral.
AGUGAACGCUGGCGGCAGGCCUAACACAUGCAAGUCGAACGGCAGCACAGUAAGAUCUUGCCCUUACGGUUGGCGACCGGCGGAUGGGUGAGGAGUACAUCGGAAUCUACUUUUUCGUGGGGGAUAACGGAGGGAAACUUACGCUAAUACCUCAUACGACCAACCGGUGAAAGCAGGGGAUCUUCGCACCUUGCGCGAUUGAAUGAGCCGAUGUCGGAUUAGCUAGUUGGCGGGGUAAGGGCACACCAAGGCGACGAUCCGUAGCUGGUCUGAGAGGAUGAUCGGCCACACUGGAACUGAGACACGGUCCAGACUCCUACGGGAGGCAGCAGUGGGGAAUAUUGGACAAUGGGCGCAAGCCUGAUCCAGCCAUACCGCGUGGGUGAAGAAGGCCUUCGGGUUGUAAAGCCCUUUUGUUGGGAAAGAAAAGCAGCAGGUUAAUACCCCGCUGUUCUGACGGUACCCAAAGAGUAAGCACCGGCUAACUUCGUG